UGCGUAGGUGGUUUCGUGUGUCGGAUGUGAAAGCCCAUGGCUCAACCCGUGGAAUGGCAUCCGAAACUGCGGAACUAGAGUCCAGGAGGGGAGAGCGGAAUUCUUGGUGUAGCGGUGAAAUGCGUUGAUAUCAAGAAGAACACCGGUGGCGAAGGCGGCUCUCUGGAAUGGUACUGACACUGAGGCACGAAAGCUGGGGAGCAAACA
RNAcentral lists this ribosomal RNA (207 nucleotides) under uncultured bacterium. Its description in RNAcentral is "partial 16S ribosomal RNA". It matches the Rfam family "Bacterial small subunit ribosomal RNA", at positions 568 to 774 of the family's 1533-position model. The record is from RNAcentral.